RNAcentral lists this ribosomal RNA (460 nucleotides) under uncultured bacterium. RNAcentral describes it as "partial 16S ribosomal RNA". It matches the Rfam family "Bacterial small subunit ribosomal RNA", at positions 338 to 795 of the family's 1533-position model. The record is from RNAcentral.
CCUACGUGGAGCAGCAGUGAGGAAUAUUGGUCAAUGGGCGCGAGCCUGAACCAGCCAAGUAGCGUGAAGGAUGACUGCCCUACGGGUUGUAAACUUCUUUUAUAAAGGAAUAGAGUGAGGCACGUGUGCCUUUUUGUAUGUACUUUAUGAAUAAGGAUCGGCUAACUCCGUGCCAGCAGCCGCGGUAAUACGGAGGAUCCGAGCGUUAUCCGGAUUUGUUGGGUUGAAAGGGAGCGUAGAUGGGUUGUUAAGUCAGUUGUGAAAGUUUGCGGCUCAACCGUAAAAUUGCAAGUGAAACUGGCAGUCUUGAGUACAGUAGAGGUGGGCGGAAUUCGUGGUGUAGCGGUGGAAUGCUUAGAUAUCACGAAGAACUCCGAUUGCGAAGGCAGCUCACUGGACUGCAACUGACACUGAGGCUCGAAAGUGUGGGUAUCAAACAGGAUUAGAUACCCGUGUAGUC